This 455-nucleotide ribosomal RNA is filed under the name uncultured Longilinea sp. RNAcentral's name for it is "bacterial SSU rRNA". It matches the Rfam family "Bacterial small subunit ribosomal RNA", at positions 924 to 1382 of the family's 1533-position model. Lineage: Bacteria; Bacillati; Chloroflexota; Anaerolineae; Anaerolineales; Anaerolineaceae. The record is from RNAcentral.
CACAAGCAGCGGAGCGUGUGGUUUAAUUCGAUGCUACACGAAGAACCUUACCAGGGUUUGACAUGCUAGUGGUAGGAACCGAAGGUGACCGACCCUUCGGGGAGCUAGCACAGGUGCUGCAUGGCUGUCGUCAGCUCGUGUCGUGAGAUGUUGGGUUAAGUCCCGCAACGAGCGCAACCCUUGUCAUUAGUUGCUACAUUCAGUUGGGCACUCUAAUGAGACUGCCGGUGACAAACCGGAGGAAGGUGGGGAUGACGUCAAGUCCUCAUGGCCCUUAUAGGUGGGGCUACACACGUCAUACAAUGGAUGGUGCAAAGGGUCGCCAACCCGCGAGGGGGAGCCAAUCCCAUAAAGCCAUUCGUAGUCCGGAUCGCAGUCUGCAACUCGACUGCGUGAAGUCGGAAUCGCUAGUAAUCGUGGAUCAGAAUGUCACGGUGAAUACGUUCCCGGGUCUU